GAUGAAGAACGCAGCGAAAUGCGAUAAGUAAUGUGAAUUGCAGAAUUCAGUGAAUCAUCGAAUCUUUGAACGCACCUUGCGCCCCUUGGUUAUUCCAAAGGGCAUGCCUGUUUGAGUAUCAUGAACACCUCAACUCUUGUGGUUUCCCACAAUGAGCUUGGACUGUGGAGGUUUUGUUGGCCCUGUGGUCAGCUCCUCUCAAAUGGAUCAGCUUACCGGUGUUUGGUGGCAUUACGGGUGUGAUAACUAUCUACGCUCGUGGUAGUCUCCAAAUAACCUCCAGUGAUGGAGGUUCGCUGGAGCUUAUAAAUGUCUCUCCCCAGUGAAGACAGCCUUUGAACGUUCGAUCUCAAAUCAGGUAGGACUACCCGCUGAACUUAAGCAUAUCAAUAAGCGGAGGA
Molecule: unclassified non-coding RNA, 401 nt
Filed under: soil metagenome
Description: partial contains 5.8S ribosomal RNA, internal transcribed spacer 2, and large subunit ribosomal RNA
Rfam family: 5.8S ribosomal RNA (bases 1-121)
Source: RNAcentral